This is a long non-coding RNA of Arabidopsis thaliana (thale cress), 245 nucleotides long. RefSeq annotates it as other RNA. The transcript has a single exon. NCBI's taxonomy places the organism in Eukaryota, Viridiplantae, Streptophyta, Magnoliopsida, Brassicales, Brassicaceae. The record is from RefSeq.
UCCGUGUCUUCAUCACUUGAUUAAAAAUUCAUAGGUAUACAAAGAAAUCUAAAAGCAUUUCUUAAAGGAACUUUGCCCUUAAAGAAACUCAUCGAUGGCAAAAAAGUUUUCAACGGGGCAAAUAUUGUAAGAAACAAGUUGAAUCAUAUAUACACUUCAAUGAGAGUGGCUUUCACCAAAAUUUCAAAGAAAAUGUUGGUUUGACCAUACUUUUUUAAUUGAAACAGCAGAUUUCUUCAGCGUAA